RNAcentral lists this ribosomal RNA (440 nucleotides) under uncultured bacterium. RNAcentral describes it as "partial 16S ribosomal RNA". It matches the Rfam family "Bacterial small subunit ribosomal RNA", at positions 338 to 795 of the family's 1533-position model. The record is from RNAcentral.
CCUACGGGAGGCAGCAGUGGGGGAUAUUGCACAAUGGGGGAAACCCUGAUGCAGCGACGCCGCGUGGGUGAAGAAGCGCCUCGGCGCGUAAAGCCCUGUCAGCAGGGAAGAAAAUGACGGUACCUGAAGAAGAAGCCCCGGCUAACUACGUGCCAGCAGCCGCGGUAAGACGUAGGGGGCAAGCGUUAUCCGGAUUUACUGGGUGUAAAGGGGGCGCAGUCGGCGGUGCAAGCCAGGAGUGAAAGCCCGGGGCCCAACGCCGGGACUGCUCUUGGAACUGCGUGGCUAGAGUGCAGGAGGGGCAGGCGGAAUUCCUGGUGUAGCGGUGAAAUGCGUAGAUAUUAGGAGGAACACCAGUGGCGAAGGCGGCCUGCUGGACGAUGACUGACGUUGAGGCUCGAAAGCGUGGGGAGCAAACAGGAUUAGAUACCCCUGUAGUC